GAGCAAACCAUGAAGAGUCUCUGGUAUUUUCAACAAUAUCAUCACAGAGGAACUGUAUUGAUUUCCUUCCACAGUGAGUCUCUGAGACCUAGUUUUGGCAGAAGGAAGUACCAGAGGGAGCUGAGCUGUUGAACAUUAUGUGCGAUCAUGUAAUAACUGCAAUCGGAAGGGAAACACUCAGAGUCCUGGAGAAAGAGAAAUUCGCAUUUGUGGACGCCUGCUGGGAGCUAGGCACUUUCGAAUAGUUCCUGUCACCUAACUUAAGUAUCAUUACUCAAGUACUAAUUAACUUAGAAUUUCAUAUUCAAAGGACAUCAUCAGCUCUCUUGUUAGAAGGGGUCCAGGCUGAACACCCUCUUUUCUCUCAAUGAUCCCAGCUAUGACACAGUUUUCUGAUCUUCAACAUCCUGGAGGCCCAAGACUAUUCAAAUAUGUCACAAAUAUCUCUAAUCACAUCUUGUGAUUAUGACUUGGAUAGAAGAUAAACAUUAUUUCCAUAAUGAUGAACAUAA
This 512-nucleotide long non-coding RNA is filed under the name Homo sapiens (human). Its description in RNAcentral is "long intergenic non-protein coding RNA 1255". Lineage: Eukaryota; Metazoa; Chordata; Mammalia; Primates; Hominidae. The record is from RNAcentral.